RNAcentral lists this ribosomal RNA (252 nucleotides) under uncultured prokaryote. RNAcentral's name for it is "partial 16S ribosomal RNA". It matches the Rfam family "Bacterial small subunit ribosomal RNA", at positions 525 to 775 of the family's 1533-position model. The record is from RNAcentral.
ACGUAGGGUGCGAGCGUUAAUCGGAAUUACUGGGCGUAAAGCGUGCGCAGGCGGUUCGCUAAGACAGGUGUGAAAGCGCCCAGGCUUAACCGGGCGAGGACAAUGAAGACUGGUCAGCUAGAGGACGGUAGAGGGGUGUGGAAUUCCGGGUGUAGCAGUGAAAUGCGUAGAGAUGUGGAGGAACACCGAUGGCGAAGGCAGCCCCCUGGGUCGACACUGACGCUCAUGCACGAAAGCGUGGGGAGCAAACAG